ACAUGUUGAUAAAAUAGAUUUAAUGCACCAGAUCCCAUUAGAACUCCAUAGUGAAGGGCGCUUAGGCUAGAGUAGUACUGGGAUGGGUGACUUCCCUGGAAGCCAUAGUGUUUUACAUGCA
Non-coding RNA from Picea glauca (white spruce), 121 nucleotides. NCBI's taxonomy places the organism in Eukaryota, Viridiplantae, Streptophyta, Pinopsida, Pinales, Pinaceae. The record is from Rfam.